GAUGAACGCUGGCGGCGUGCUUAACACAUGCAAGUCGAACGAUAAGGCCCAGCUUGCUGGGUGUAUUCGUGGCGAACGGGUGAGUAACACGCGAGUAACCUGCCCCUAACUCUUUGGUAAGCCUGGGAAACUGUGUCGCAUACCGGAUAGGAGCGUCCCUCGCAUGUUGGGUGUUGGGAAGAUUUAUCGGGUUUGGAUGGACUCGCGGCCUAUCAGCUUGUUGGUGGGGGAGUGGCUCACCAAGGCGAGGACGGGUAGCCGGCCUGAGAGGGUGACCGGCCACACUGGGACUGAGACACGGCCCAGACUCCUACGGGAGGCAGCAGUGGGGAAUAUUGCACAAUGGGCGGAAGCCUGAUGCAGCGACGCCGCGUGAGGGAUGACGGCCUUCGGGUUGUAAACCGCUUUCAGUUGUGAAGAAGCGAAAGUGACGGUAACUGCUGAAGAAGCACCGGCUAACUACGUG
This 466-nucleotide ribosomal RNA is filed under the name uncultured bacterium. Its description in RNAcentral is "partial 16S ribosomal RNA". It matches the Rfam family "Bacterial small subunit ribosomal RNA", at positions 28 to 507 of the family's 1533-position model. The record is from RNAcentral.